This is a long non-coding RNA of Gossypium raimondii (Peruvian cotton), 590 nucleotides long. RefSeq lists it as uncharacterized. The record is from RefSeq and is a predicted model, not a curated record. The transcript is spliced from 2 exons. NCBI's taxonomy places the organism in Eukaryota, Viridiplantae, Streptophyta, Magnoliopsida, Malvales, Malvaceae.
AAAAAAAUGAGAGUUUCCUUUCAAAACCCUCUUUCUCCGGCCGUUGAGUUUCCUCGGGCCUCCGUCGCGCCACCUCCAUGGCCAGUGGCCGGAGUCGCGUGAAACGGGCUUUUCAGCCCUCACUUCACGGCGUCCCCGAAGGCUAGGCCUUCUCAACCGUGGGACCGAGAGAAAAAGAAAAAGAUCCCUCUCCCUGUUCUACUCCGGUGACGGCGACGAAGGGUUCCGGCGCCGGCUUUCGAAGCAAACAGGUGUCAGAGGAGCUGGUGGAGCGGGUGAACGAAACAAUGGCGAUGGCAGAGGGUAGGUGACGGCGGCGGUGUGAAAGUCAGAAGGCAGGUGGUGCGGCGCAAUAGGGGGCUAGGGUUACUGUUUCUGUUUUGUAUUUUGGGCCGUUUGGGCCAUUAAGGUUUAGUUUUAGUUAGGCUUAAAUUUUGGGUUUAGGUUUGGGUUGGUUUAGGUGGGUAUUGGGUUGAUAUUGGUUUUGGGUGUUUGGGUUUUGGGUAGAUUUGGGUACUGGGCCGGGCAAAAUGGGUUGUACAUUAGUCUUACCAACACAAUCAAUGCCUCAUUGGCUAUAUUUUUUAUCA